RNAcentral lists this ribosomal RNA (919 nucleotides) under fungal sp. MS337b. Its description in RNAcentral is "eukaryotic LSU rRNA". The stretch from base 494 to 919 matches the Rfam family "Eukaryotic large subunit ribosomal RNA", at positions 1 to 428 of the family's 3401-position model. The record is from RNAcentral. Lineage: Eukaryota; Fungi.
UACCGAGUUUUCAACUCCCAAACCCCUGUGAACAUACCUGAACGUUGCUUCGGCGGGACCGCCCCGGCGCCCUCAGCGGCCCGGAACCAGGCGCCCGCCGGAGGACCCAAACUCUUGCUUUAAACAGUGGCAUUCUCUGAGUCUCACAAACAAAAUAAAUCAAAACUUUCAACAACGGAUCUCUUGGCUCUGGCAUCGAUGAAGAACGCAGCGAAAUGCGAUAAGUAAUGUGAAUUGCAGAAUUCAGUGAAUCAUCGAAUCUUUGAACGCACAUUGCGCCCGCCAGUAUUCUGGCGGGCAUGCCUGUUCGAGCGUCAUUUCAACCCUCAAGCCCCCAGGGGCUUGGUGUUGGGGACCGGCCCGCCCUUCUGCGGCGGCCGCCGCCCCCGAAAUGCAGUGGCGACCUCGCCGCAGCCUCCCCUGCGUAGUAGCACAACCUCGCACCGGAGCGCGGAGACGGUCACGCCGUAAAACGCCCAACUUUCUUUAGAGUUGACCUCGGAUCAGGUAGGAAUACCCGCUGAACUUAAGCAUAUCAAUAAGCGGAGGAAAAGAAACCAACAGGGAUUGCCCCAGUAACGGCGAGUGAAGCGGCAACAGCUCAAAUUUGAAAUCUGGCCUCCAGGGCCCGAGUUGUAAUUUGCAGAGGAUGCUUUUGGCGCGGUGCCUUCCGAGUUCCCUGGAACGGGACGCCAUAGAGGGUGAGAGCNCCGUCUGGUCGGACACCAAGCCAGUGUAAAGCUCCUUCGACGAGUCGAGUAGUUUGNGAAUGCUGCUCUAAAUGGGAGGUAUAUGUCUUCUAAAGCUAAAUANCGGNCAGAGACNCGAUAGCGCACAAGUAGAGUGAUCGAAAGAUGAAAAGCACUUUGAAAAGAGGGUUAAACAGUACGUGAAAUUGUUGAAAGGGAAGCGUUUAUGA